RNAcentral lists this ribosomal RNA (497 nucleotides) under uncultured bacterium. RNAcentral's name for it is "partial 16S ribosomal RNA". It matches the Rfam family "Bacterial small subunit ribosomal RNA", at positions 28 to 507 of the family's 1533-position model. The record is from RNAcentral.
GAUGAACGCUGGCGGCGUGCCUAAUACAUGCAAGUCGAGCGAACGGACGAGAAGCUUGCUUCUCUGAUGUUAGCGGCGGACGGGUGAGUAACACGUGGGUAACCUACCUAUAAGACUGGGAUAACUUCGGGAAACCGGAGCUAAUACCGGAUAAUAUUUUGAACCGCAUGGUUCAAAAGUGAAAGACGGUCUUGCUGUCACUUAUAGAUGGAUCCGCGCUGCAUUAGCUAGUUGGUAAGGUAACGGCUUACCAAGGCAACGAUGCAUAGCCGACCUGAGAGGGUGAUCGGCCAUACUGGAACUGAGACACGGUCCAGACUCCUACGGGAGGCAGCAGUAGGGAAUCUUCCGCAAAGGGCGAAAGCCUGACGGAGCAACGCCGCGUGAGUGAUGAAGGUCUUCGGAUCGUAAAACUCUGUUAUUAGGGAAGAACAUAUGUGUAAGUAACUGUGCACAUCUUGACGGUACCUAAUCAGAAAGCCACGGCUAACUACGUG